RNAcentral lists this long non-coding RNA (2187 nucleotides) under Homo sapiens (human). Its description in RNAcentral is "non-protein coding lnc-PHC1-1:1". The record is from RNAcentral. Lineage: Eukaryota; Metazoa; Chordata; Mammalia; Primates; Hominidae.
UUUUUUUUCUUUUUCUUUUGAGACAGAGUCUCACUCUAUCACCCAGACUGGACUGUGUCAAUAGCAUGUUCCUUUUGCAUUUGUUUGAUUUCUUUCACUGUAAUAUCUGUGAACUUGUAUGUAUCAGUAGUAGGUUUUGUUUUGUGUUUUGGUGGGGUAGUAUUACAUUUUAUGAAUACAGUAGCCCUCCCUUCUCCUCAGGGGACAUGUUCCAAGGCCCCUGCUGUAGACAGCAUCUAACCCAGUUGCCUUCAAUGAGAAUAUGUUUCUGUUCAUAUCUUCCACCCAUUCUUUUCCCUUCUUCACAAUUUAACAGAUAGAGGAUUUAUUCUUACCAUAGAUGUUAGCAACCUCGGAAUACUUGUUUUGUUUUUUGUUUGUUUGUUUGUUUUGUUUUGUUUUUUUGUUUUUUGUUUUUUUUUAGUAAGUCAAGAACCUUCACCUUUUUAUUUAAAGGAAGCACUUUACACUUCUCUUUGGCAUGUCUGCAUAGCCAGCAUUACUACUCUUGCGCUUUGUGGCCAUUAUUAAGUAAAAUAAGAGUUACUUGCACUGCAGUACUGUGGCAGUCAAUCUGAUAACUGAGAGGGACACUAACGGGCAGGGAGUGUCCCCAGCGUGUUUCCACUGGAUGAAGGGGUGAUUUAUGUCCCAGGUGGGAUGGAGCAGGACAGUGCAAGAUUUUAUCACAGUACUCAGAACAGCAUGCAAUGUAAAACUUAUGAGUAGUUUAUUUCUGGAAUUUUUCAUCUGAUAUUUUCAGACCUCGGUUGACUACUGGUAACUGAAAUUGUAGAAAGCACACCUGCAGAUAAGGGUGGGGAACUAUCGUAUUUCUCAUCUUAUUCAUUCCCUUUUGAUGGGCGUUUGGGUUCUAUCUGUAUUUUCUUCUAAGAAGCCUUAUAGUUUUAUGUUUAUGUCUGUAAUUUAUUUUUAAAUUUUUUUAGAGACAGGCUCUUGCUAUAGUACCCAGGCUGGUCUCAAACUCCUGGCCUCAAGCUCUUCUCCCAACAUGGCCUCCCAAAGUGUUGGGAUUACAAGCAUGAACCAGUGUGCCCGGUCUGUGAUCUAUUUUGAGUUAAUUUUUGUGUAUAGUUGAGGUAGCACUGAGGUUCCUUUUUUUCCCCAUAUGGAUAUAUAAUGACUUCCUAUAACAUUGUUUGACUAUUUUUCCUCUCUUAAUUGCGUCAGAGCUUUGUUGAGAAUCAGUUGAUUGUAUAAAUGUAGUUCUGUUUCUGGACUUAAUUCUGUUUAGUUGAUAUCUUUAUUAUUAAGCUAAUAACACACUCCUGAUUCUUCUAGUUUUAUAUUAAGUCUUGAAGAAAGGUAUUAUAAGUCUUUCUUCUCUUUUCAAGAUUGUUUUGGCUAUUCUAGGUCCUUUGCAUUUCCAUAUACACUUUAAAAGCAACCUGUCAAUUUCUGUUAAAAAAUCCUGCUGGGGCAAGGCAUAGUGGCUCACGUGUGUAAUCUCAGCACUUUGGGAGGCUGAGAUGGGAGGAUCACUUGGGCUCAGGAUUUCAAACCAGCUUGGGCAACAUGGUGAGACUCUGUCUCUACAAAAAAACCUAAGAAUUAGCUGAGCGUGGUGGCUUGUGCCUAUGGUCCCAGCUACUUGGGAGGCUAAAGUGGGAGGAUCGCUUGAGCCCAGGAGGUCAAGGCUUCAGAGAGCCGUGGUUGCACCACUGCACUCCAGCCUGGACAACAGAGUGAUACCCUGUAUCAAAAAAAAAAAAAAAUCCUGCUGGGGUUACAAUUGGGGUUGAUAUGAAUCUGUAGAUAAAUUUGGGGAAAAUUGACAUCUUAAUGUUGAGUCUUAUAAUUCAUGAAUAUGAAACCACCUUUGCAGAACUAUAAGUAAUGAGAGAAGUCUAAUAUGGUUGACUCCAUCUUGCUUCCAACCUCUCAAGUUAAAUUGUUUUUUUGUCCAUUCUAAUGUGGGGGCCAAGAUAACUAUAAGAGGAAUUUAGUUUACAGUUAAAACCACAUUCAUAAAACAAAGUUAAAAUUAUGGUAGGGGCUUGAACUUUGCUGAAGAAUAGACAUAGUUGAACAAUGACCCGCCAUUACUUAGCUUGUUUUUGUUAUAUAAGUUGCUUACUGCCCCAGAGUCUUGUAUCUGGGGUCGCAAGAUUUAGAGCUUCUCCAACUUCUCCUGUAGGUAAUAUUACUAUUGUAAAACCUGAAGAA